UGGGGAAUUUUGGACAAUGGGGGAAACCCUGAUCCAGCCAUCCCGCGUGUGCGAUGAAGGCCUUCGGGUUGUAAAGCACUUUUGGCAGGAAAGAAACGUCAUGGGUUAAUACCCCGUGAAACUGACGGUACCUGCAGAAUAAGCACCGGCUAACUACGUGCCAGCAGCCGCGGUAAUACGUAGGGUGCAAGCGUUAAUCGCAAUUACUGGGCGUAAAGCGUGCGCAGGCGGUUCGGAAAGAAAGAUGUGAAAUCCCAGAGCUCAACUUUGGAACUGCAUUUUUAACUACCGGGAUAGAGUGUGUCAGAGGGAGGUGGAAUUCCGCGUGUAGCAGUGAAAUGCGUAGAUAUGCGGAGGAACACCGAUGGCGAAGGCAGCCUCCUGGGAUAACACUGACGCUCAUGCAAGAAAGCGUGGGGAGCAAACAGG
This 429-nucleotide ribosomal RNA is filed under the name Acidobacteriota bacterium. Its description in RNAcentral is "Acidobacteria bacterium partial 16S ribosomal RNA". It matches the Rfam family "Bacterial small subunit ribosomal RNA", at positions 355 to 776 of the family's 1533-position model. Lineage: Bacteria; Pseudomonadati; Acidobacteriota. The record is from RNAcentral.